UACGGGGGGGGCAAGCGUUGCUCGGAAUUACUGGGCGUAAAGGGCGCGUAGGCGGCCAACUAAGUCCGACGUGAAAUCCCAAGGCUUAACCUUGGAACUGCGUCGGAUACUGGAUGGCUUGAAUUCGGGAGAGGGAUGCAGAAUUCCAGGUGUAGCGGUGAAAUGCGUAGAUAUCUGGAGGAAUACCGGUGGCGAAGGCGGCAUCCUGGACCGACAUUGACGCUGAUGAGCGAAAGCUAGGGGAGCAAACGGG
RNAcentral lists this ribosomal RNA (253 nucleotides) under uncultured bacterium. Its description in RNAcentral is "partial 16S ribosomal RNA". It matches the Rfam family "Bacterial small subunit ribosomal RNA", at positions 524 to 776 of the family's 1533-position model. The record is from RNAcentral.